UCUGAUCUGAUCUGAUCCCGUGCCGAUCGGGUGUCCGCACUAAGUUCGGCAUCAAUAUGGUGACCUCCCGGGAGCGGGGGGCCACCAGGUUGCCUAAGGAGGGGUGAACCGGCCCAGGUAGGAAACGGAGCAGGAAGGGGCCAGUGUGGCCGAGCCUGGCUUGCUGACCUGCCCAGAGGGCAGGAGACCCAGGCCAG
Unclassified non-coding RNA from Bos taurus (domestic cattle), 197 nucleotides. It matches the Rfam family "Metazoan signal recognition particle RNA". From Rfam's summary of the family: The signal recognition particle (SRP) is a universally conserved ribonucleoprotein. It is involved in the co-translational targeting of proteins to membranes. The eukaryotic SRP consists of a 300-nucleotide 7S RNA and six proteins: SRPs 72, 68, 54, 19, 14, and 9. Lineage: Eukaryota; Metazoa; Chordata; Mammalia; Artiodactyla; Bovidae. The record is from Ensembl.